Molecule: ribosomal RNA, 468 nt
Filed under: Allolobophora icterica
Lineage: Eukaryota; Metazoa; Annelida; Clitellata; Crassiclitellata; Lumbricidae
Description: Aporrectodea icterica partial 16S ribosomal RNA
Rfam family: Bacterial large subunit ribosomal RNA
Source: RNAcentral
UGCUUCUUGUCUCAUAGUAAGAAGUAAUUCCUGCCCAGUGAUUUACAUUCAACGGCCGCGGUAUCCUAACCGUGCAAAGGUAGCAUAAUCACUUGCCCAUUAAUUGUGGGCUAGAAUGAAAGGACUAACGAAAUAAAAACUGUCUCUAUAAGCCGCAUAAAAAUUAAUCUCUAACUGAAGAGUGUUAGAUUACGUCGAAGGACAAGAAGACCCUAUAGAGCUUCAUCUUAAUGAAGACUAAAACUUCACUAAAAUUCGGUUGGGGCGACCGGGGAAAAUCAAUCAUCCCUAAUAAAUAGAUAAGUAAAUCUAAACACUGACCCUUAACAAAGAUCACCAGAAUAAGCUACCUUAGGGAUAACAGGCUAAUCCCGUUAAAGAGUCCUUAUCAAUAACGGGGGUUGGCACCUCGAUGUUGGCUUAGGGAAUCUAUGUGGCGCAAAAGUCACAUAAAGAUGGUUUGUUCAA